CCUACGGGUGGCAGCAGUGGGGAAUAUUGCACAAUGGGCGAAAGCCUGAUGCAGCAACGCCGCGUGAGCGAUGAAGGUCUUCGGGUCGUAAAGCUCUGUCCUAAGGGAAGAAUACUUACGGUACCUUAGGAGGAAGCCCCGGCUAACUACGUGCCAGCAGCCGCGGUAAUACGUAGGGGGCUAGCGUUAUCCGGAAUUACUGGGCGUAAAGGGGGCGGAGGCGGCCCUUCAAGUCAGAGGUGAAUCGCUUCGUCUCAACCGGAGUAAGCCUUUGAAACUGGAGGGCUUGAGUGCAGGAGAGGAGAGUGGAAUUCCCAGUGUAGCGGUGAAAUGCGUAGAUAUUGGGAGGAACACCAGUGGCGAAGGCGGCUCUCUGGACUGUAACUGACGCUGAGGCACGAAAGUGUGGGGAGCGAACAGGAUUAGAUACCCGUGUAGUC
This 440-nucleotide ribosomal RNA is filed under the name uncultured bacterium. RNAcentral's name for it is "bacterial SSU rRNA". It matches the Rfam family "Bacterial small subunit ribosomal RNA", at positions 338 to 795 of the family's 1533-position model. The record is from RNAcentral.